AACUGGUGCCGUACCAUCAUGACAAUACCUGAUCUCAUAUGAUCUAAAGCUAAGCAGGGUUGGCCUGGGUUAGCACUUGGGAUGAGAGACUGUUGGAUAAUAAUACUACUUACCACAUUGGUGCAGCAGUGU
This 132-nucleotide ribosomal RNA is filed under the name Periophthalmus magnuspinnatus. The record is from RNAcentral. Lineage: Eukaryota; Metazoa; Chordata; Actinopteri; Gobiiformes; Gobiidae.